GCACGAACCGGCUUCGGCCGGGGAGUGAGUGGCAGACGGGUGAGUAACGCGUGGGAACGUGCCUCAAGGUUCGGGAUAACCCGGGGAAACUCGGGCUAAUACCGGAUGUGCCCUUCGGGGGAAAGAUUUAUCGCCUUGGGAUCGGCCCGCGUAGGAUUAGCUUGUUGGUGAGGUAACGGCUCACCAAGGCUUCGAUCCUUAGCUGUUCUGAGAGGAAGAUCAGCCACACUGGGACUGAGACACGGCCCAGACUCCUACGGGAGGCAGCAGUGGGGAAUCUUGGACAAUGGGGGCAACCCUGAUCCAGCCAUGCCGCGUGGGUGAAGAAGGCCCUAGGGUUGUAAAGCCCUUUCGCCGGUGAAGAUAAUGACGGUAACCGGUAAAGAAGCCCCGGCUAACUUCGUGCCAGCAGCCGCGGUAAUACGAAGGGGGCUAGCGUUGUUCGGAAUCACUGGGCGUAAAGCGCACGUAGGCGGACUGGCCAGUCAGGGGUGAAAGCCCGGAGCUCAACUCCGGAAUUGCCCUUGAUACUGUCAGUCUGGAGACCGGGAGAGGAGAGUGGAAUUCCCAGUGUAGAGGUGAAAUUCGUAGAUAUUGGGAAGAACACCAGUGGCGAAGGCGGCUCUCUGGCCCGGGUCUGACGCUGAGGUGCGAAAGCGU
Molecule: ribosomal RNA, 660 nt
Filed under: uncultured bacterium
Lineage: Bacteria
Description: bacterial SSU rRNA
Rfam family: Bacterial small subunit ribosomal RNA
Source: RNAcentral